AGGAUUUUGGCCUGAUGCACCAUUUUUGUGGUCAAAAUAAAGCGCAAGCGAAAAAGGAGCGAAGAUGUCGUGAGGUGCCAUGACGAGAAGGAGUGACUGAGAGGAUCAUCCACAAGAUGGGAGCUGAGGCCUGGAGAAAGUCUUCAGGAAGAUCAGAGAUCACCUUCAGCACAGAGAGCUGUGCUACUGGGCUUCCAGGAGAUUGUCAUCACCGUUGGAACGUGAGAACCUGAGGGAGCGUGCCAAGCUCCAAAAAGUGACAGCGCAGAGGAGGUCCAGCGAUGGACUUGUGGUUCUGUAAACAGCACAAAUACCAGGUGACUGUGAAAAACCUAACAGCACUUUUUCCACAGGUGAAGCCAGUAACUUACUAUCCUAACAGAUUAGCUCUAGUUGCUUGUGCUUUACCUCCAUGCGUGAGAUCAGUAUGUGCUUCUUUCGUUUUGCCAAUGAAAGAAGAGGGCACUUCUCAC
Molecule: long non-coding RNA, 473 nt
Organism: Oreochromis aureus
Lineage: Eukaryota; Metazoa; Chordata; Actinopteri; Cichliformes; Cichlidae
Source: Ensembl